UUGAAAGGGAAACGAUUGAAGUCAGUCGUACCGGCGGGUAAUCAGCCUUUUGGGUGUGAUUAUGUGGAGCGUGAGGAGUUAAACACCCUCAUCUUUGCAUAUUCGUGCACUUUGGGUGUACUUGCUCGUGUGGUAGGUUAACAUCAAUUUUGAUCAUCAUAAAAUGAUUGAAGGAAUGUAGCUUCGAUCUCGUAUUGAAGUGUUAUAGCCUUUGGUAGAUGUGAUGAUCGGGAUUGAGGAUUGCAACGGAUACCCUUCGGGGCUACCCGUCUGAUCUCUGAAAGUUGCUCUGGUGCUGAAAGCUUGCUUAUGGUAUCAAAGUUGACGUUCAAUAGGUUAGAACGGGAUAAAUUCGUUAAGGAUGUUGACGUA
Molecule: ribosomal RNA, 372 nt
Filed under: uncultured Glomeromycotina
Lineage: Eukaryota; Fungi; Glomeromycota
Description: LSU rRNA
Source: RNAcentral